UUUGUCUGCCUUCAUCUUUCUGUCUUUCUUUCUUAUUUUCGUUCUGUCUUUCUCCAAUCAAAUAAGGAGGAUAAAAGAAAAAGAAGAAGACAAAGAAGAAGAAGAAGAAGAAGAAGAAGAAGACCUAAGUUCAGAAGCUUUGCGGACCCCAGUGAAAGUUGAUUCAGAAUCAGACCCGGCCUACUGCCAAGCACUGCAAUGACCGAGAUCAUGAGUAUAUGUAUACAGCUCUAUGAAUUAAUGAUGAAUGAAUGAAUGAAUAAAUGAAUGAAUGAAUGAAUGAAUGAAUGAAUGAACGCAACCAUAUAAAGAAGACAGCAAAAAAGUGGUCUGAAGAACUGAGAGAGUCUGACCAAAACAACUACAGAUUCCUGGAUGAGUUACAGUAAGCUCUGCCCAGACCAGCCCAGCCCAUAUCAUUUGGGUACCACUACAACAGCAGACUAGAAGCAGCAGACUAGCAACACAAUAGCAGACUAGCAACAGCAGACUAGCAACAGCAGACUAGCAACAGUAGACUAGCAACAGCAGACUAGAAGCACAACAGCAGACUAGCAACAGCAGACCAGCAACAGCAGACUAGGAGCACAACAGCAGACAAGCAACAGCAGACUAGAAGCACAAUAGCAGACCAGCAACAGCAUACUAGCAACAGCAGACUAGAAGCACAACAGCAGACCAGCAAUAGCAGACUAGAAGCACAACAGCAGACAAACAACAGCAGACUAGAAGCACAACAGCAGACUAGCAACAGCAGACUAGAAGCACAAUAGCAGACUAGCAACAGCAGACUAGAAGCACAACAGCAGACCAGCAACAGCAGACUAGAAGCACAACAGCAGACUAGCAACAGCAGACUAGAAGCACAACAGCAGACUAGCAGCACAACAGCCGACUAGCAACAGCAGACUAGAAGCACAAUAGCAGACUAGCAACUGCAGACUAGCAACAGCAGACUACAACCGCAGACAAGCAACAGCAGACUAGAAGCACAACAGCAGACUAGCAACAGCAGACUAGCAACAGCAGACUAGCAACAACCGACUAGCAACAGCAGACUAGGAGCACAACAGCAGACUAGCAACAGCAGACUAGAAGCACAACAGCAGACUAGCAACAGCAGACUAGAAGCACAAUAGCAGACUAGCAACAGCAGACUAGCAACAGCAGACUAGGAGCACAACAGCAGACCAGCAUCCCACAAGUACAUUUACAUUUAGUCAUUUAGCAGACGCUUUUGUCCAAAGCGACGUACAAGGGGGGUGUAGUACAGGUGCAUGAGAGUAAGGCCCUCUGCC
Molecule: long non-coding RNA, 1298 nt
Organism: Clupea harengus (Atlantic herring)
Lineage: Eukaryota; Metazoa; Chordata; Actinopteri; Clupeiformes; Clupeidae
Source: Ensembl